Molecule: long non-coding RNA, 761 nt
Filed under: Androctonus crassicauda
Lineage: Eukaryota; Metazoa; Arthropoda; Arachnida; Scorpiones; Buthidae
Source: RNAcentral
GAAAAAUCUUUUUAAUGCAAAUAUUUUUAAUUUUUAUUAAACACAAAAAAACAAUAAAAUAAUACAGUAAAACCUCGUUAAUUUGAUAUUGGUUAAUUCAUAUGAUAAAACCAGGCAAGGACUAAGAAAUUCAUAGACUCCAUCACAAAUCACAACCUAGGUCUGAGAUUAAACUUAGAAUAACAAAGCAGCACAAUCAUAUUUCUUUCUAGAUGUGCAACUAAUAAUAAAGAAAGGAAAAUGCAUAACUUCUGUGUUUAGAAAACUGAUCUCAUCCAUGAACCAAUUUUCAUCCUCUCUUGGUCAAAUGAUCCCUACAUCUAUAAGUGUGCAGCAUUCCACAACUUCAUCAGACGAAUUUUUACACACUGUAUAGAAGAAGAUGGGCGAGAGAGAGAAAGAAUACAAAAAAUUUAUAGGCUAAGGAAGAAAACAUAGGUAUUUUGCAAAUUUUAUGAAGUGCAUAUACAGAAUAGUAAAGAACAUAUUUGAGAGAACAAGUAAUGGUAAGAAUAAUAAUGAAAUAGAAGAAGACAUGAGUAUUAAACAAACAAAAGUAGAAUAUGCAGUCAUACUCACAACAAUAGCCAAUAUGAAGACAAGGAGCAAAACAAAAAGAUGGCAUAUAAAAGAGGACCUAGAAUAUUUGGAAGAUUAAGAAAUGACAAAGACAAAUAUAACCAAGUUCUAAAAAGUGGAGUCUACCAGGUCCCACUAAUAAACAACUAUAACAAUAUAGAAUAAUUCUAUAUAAGAAUGAC